This 73-nucleotide transfer RNA is filed under the name Ignavibacteriaceae bacterium. RNAcentral's name for it is "tRNA-Ala". It matches the Rfam family "tRNA". Rfam says of the family: Transfer RNA (tRNA) molecules are approximately 80 nucleotides in length. Their secondary structure includes four short double-helical elements and three loops (D, anti-codon, and T loops). Further hydrogen bonds mediate the characteristic L-shaped molecular structure. tRNAs have two regions of fundamental functional importance: the anti-codon, which is responsible for specific mRNA codon recognition, and the 3' end, to which the tRNAs corresponding amino acid is attached (by aminoacyl-tRNA synthetases). tRNAs cope with the degeneracy of the genetic code in two manners: having more than one tRNA (with a specific anti-codon) for a particular amino acid; and 'wobble' base-pairing, i.e. permitting non-standard base-pairing at the 3rd anti-codon position. The record is from RNAcentral. Lineage: Bacteria; Pseudomonadati; Ignavibacteriota; Ignavibacteria; Ignavibacteriales; Ignavibacteriaceae.
GGGGCUAUAGCUCAGUUGGUAGAGCGCUUGAAUGGCAUUCAAGAGGCCAGCGGUUCGAACCCGCUUAGCUCCA